CUGAGGGGCUGGGGCCGCCUGAGGGGAGCGAGGCGGGUCGCGGUGUUGGCAGGGGCAGCCUUGGUACUCCGUCAGUCAUGGCCACCCCCUCACAGCUGUGAGCGACUGCCGUGCCGUCAGCAUCCAGCCACAGCCAUUGCUCAUCUCCAUCCCCUCAGCUCCGAGGGCUGGAGCCUGGCUGGGAGAGCUGGGAAUGUUCAGGCUGGAGAAGAGAAGGGUCCGGGGAGACCUUAGAGCCCCUUCCAGUGUCUAAAGAGGCUCCAAGAGAGUUGGAGAGGGACUGGGGACAAGACCUGGAAGGACAAGACAAGCUCCCCUGCCACAGCACAGCCGGUGUUUCGAAUGACACCGGCUCCGUCGUGGAGAACAGCGUUCCAUGGCCUCUGGGGAUGUCACAGCCCGCCUCGCCGGCAGCCGCCGGCAGCACCAACAGUGCCGGCAGCGCCCGCUCCGUCAGCGACUCCUGAGGAGCAUCCGGCACGGCGGGCAUCUGUUCCCGGCUCCUCUGCUCCCUGUGGAAAUGCCACAGUUCCUCCUGCAGACGUUGCCUGUGCCCGCAGGAAGGGAGGAGAAUUCCUACACCGAGCGUGGAGAGGAGGGACCAUUCACGGUUUGCACUAGUGGGAGGGAGAUGUUUGUCAAGAAAUAGGAAAACGAGAGGGGAAAGUGCUGCUGAGACGUUGUAGCUGGUGCUGUGGCGAUGCUCAUCCCGAGCUGUCUGCGCCAAUGACGGUGCUCGGUUUGUCCCGGAAUUCCGGAGCCAACCCCACGGGUGGCAGUGGAACCGAAUUAGGGAGGGGUGGUGGGAAGGGUGAUUCCAGCUGGCUGCAUUACAUCCUAAACCCAGCAGCAGCCAAAGCAGCAUUUGGAAAAGCCGUCUGCCGUGGGCUAUAGGGAGACGUGCUGGAACCUGGAAAAACACCAGAUGGUGCCAUGGCUUUAGUUAUUUCUUUAUGCCUCUGACACUGCGAGUUCAGGCUUCCCUCUCCUCUGUGGGCUGUGCCCAUCCUCCUUCUUCCCAAGGGUCCCAGGGGAAUUCUGCCUGGCUAGAAAAAAAAAAGGGUUUUACUUACUGAACAACGAGAUAGAGCCAUUAAUUACUCACAGUGAUUAAAAAGGAGGAGAAAUUAAAGUCUAGUGAUGCCACCAAGAUGCCA
This is a long non-coding RNA of Corvus hawaiiensis (hawaiian crow), 1157 nucleotides long. RefSeq lists it as uncharacterized. NCBI's taxonomy places the organism in Eukaryota, Metazoa, Chordata, Aves, Passeriformes, Corvidae. The record is from RefSeq and is a predicted model, not a curated record. The transcript has 2 exons.